AUUCCUUAUCACCCCUCUGUGUGCUAUGUGUGCAUUAUUAUUUUGUAGCUGGGAAACCAAGGCAGAGGAGUCAAGCUACUCAUCCAAAACCACAGCUGGGCCAUGGCAGAGCAAAGAUUAGCAUUCAAGAGUUGUUGGCUCCAAGGCCUGGGCCCAAGCUCGUUAGACCACACGUCCCCUCUGAAGAAUCCAGACAUCAUGCUUCUAAAAUGCAGUCACUUGUAUGUGAGCAUAGUGUCUGAAAAUACAAGUCAAUGGGCUCCCUUUCAUGGUUCAAACCUAAAGCAUCCUGGUCUUCCUAUUUCUCUGCUGGAGCUGGAUAACCCUGUUGAAGAAAGGGAACCCUGUCGGAGUCAGGGCAGGUUCUAUGCAUUGUACCUUAACUGAAUGGAGGAGGAUAGUGCUGUGAUGAAGGCAUGGAACUGAAGUUUGAGGAACUGUGGGUCACUUCCCAGCUCUGCUACAGGCUUUCUGUGUGACCCUGGACACGUCAUUUAAUUUCUCUGUGUUUCAGUUUCCCAUCUGGGGAUAAUACUUCCAUUCUCCUACCCUUAGUCUGGCUCAUCCAUUUACUUUCUAAGCAUUUCAGCGCAGGCACCAUGUCUUAUCAUUUGUUUGCCCAGUGCUUGUCACAAUAGGGGCCUGAUCUCUGUUCGAGCCCCUAGAUGUUACUGUAAUAUACAUAAUUAAUAAUACCAAUAUGGAGAUUGUGCUUAGUUGAAUUACAAAACAAAAACAUAUAUAUGGACUUUGCCCCUUAUUACACCUUUCAAAAGUAUAAUGACAACCUCAGCCACUUCUUUUGCCUUCAGAUAUCAGAUCCUAACUUCCUUCUUUUCCUUGGAGAGCAAGGUUGGGAGAGUUUUGGAGAACAUUACCGAGGAGGGCUGAGAACCUUAGCUGUGCGUGUCCCUGCCUGAGACUCAAGACUAAACAUCUCCUCUCUUCUUGGAGGAGAGCCGCAACUCACGGUCCAACUUUCAGAUGUGAUGUCAUAUUCCAGGUCCUCCAAAGUUUGCCAAAGUCCUCCACAAGGAAGAGGGAAGUUACAACCCAAUAAUGCAAACAAAAUAAAUACAUAUUUUAUCCUGUGUUUUUGACA
This 1102-nucleotide long non-coding RNA is filed under the name Gopherus agassizii (Agassiz's desert tortoise). Its description in RNAcentral is "lncRNA (ENSGAGG00000001128.1)". The record is from RNAcentral. Lineage: Eukaryota; Metazoa; Chordata; Testudines; Testudinidae.